CCUACGGGAGGCAGCAGUGAGGAAUAUUGGUCAAUGGACGAGAGUCUGAACCAGCCAAGUAGCGUGAAGGAUGACUGCCCUAUGGGUUGUAAACUUCUUUUAUAUGGGAAUAAAAUGUUCCACGUGUGGGAUUUUGUAUGUACCAUAUGAAUAAGGAUCGGCUAACUCCGUGCCAGCAGCCGCGGUAAUACGGCGGAUCCGAGCGUUCUCCGGAUUUAUUGGGUUUAAAGGGAGCGUAGGUGGAUUGUUAAGUCAGUUGUGAAAGUUUGCGGCUCAACCGUAAAAUUGCAGUUGAAACUGGCAGUCUUGAGUACAGUAGAGGUGGGCGGAAUUCGUGGUGUAGCGGUGAAAUGCUUAGAUAUCACGAAGAACUCCGAUUGCGAAGGCAGUUCACUGGACUGCAACUGACACUGAGGCUCGAAAGUGUGGGUAUCAAACAGGAUUAGAUACCCCUGUAGUC
RNAcentral lists this ribosomal RNA (460 nucleotides) under uncultured bacterium. Its description in RNAcentral is "partial 16S ribosomal RNA". It matches the Rfam family "Bacterial small subunit ribosomal RNA", at positions 338 to 795 of the family's 1533-position model. The record is from RNAcentral.